CUUUUCAGUUCCUUGUUCUGUUCCUUAUAGUUAGAGCCAGAAUUUCCCACCUUCUCAUUGUUGAACCCUUUGGAAAUCCAAAAGAA
Neltuma alba is the source of this 86-nucleotide long non-coding RNA. RefSeq lists it as uncharacterized. NCBI's taxonomy places the organism in Eukaryota, Viridiplantae, Streptophyta, Magnoliopsida, Fabales, Fabaceae. The record is from RefSeq and is a predicted model, not a curated record. The transcript has 3 exons.